GUUCUGCCCAUUCGAAAAUGAGGCACAGAGGGAGCAACUGACCAGCUUUAUGGGGAUGAGCUGGACUUGCUGGCUGAAGCUGGGCAUGAACAGGACGAUCACCUGACAGCUAAUGUUUGCUCAGACUGUCUUGGUAGGAACCUCCAAACAUGUUUCUUAUGGAAUAAAUGGAAGAGAAAUGGUGUAGUAAUCAGCUACCAAAACCCUGAUGAAGUCAUGACUCCCUAAGUCCCAAGUUCAGUGACAACCCCCAGCAGGUCGCUCUGAAAUGACUGCCAGUCUCUUCUCCUCCUUUGCCCAGUAUUACAAAGCUCGCAUGUCAGGAAUCUAGUUUGGGAGCAAUCCCCACCCAGCCUGUGCCCUCCCCCCACAGCUGUCUGGCUGAUCCCCGAUGCAUCUACCAUUUGGGAAGGAAAGCAGAUGAGAUUAACUUGUUUAAAUCUGUGCUCCGAACAGUAGGGGCAGGAAAGAAGCAAAA
RNAcentral lists this long non-coding RNA (478 nucleotides) under Mustela putorius furo (domestic ferret). Its description in RNAcentral is "lncRNA (ENSMPUG00000030633.1)". The record is from RNAcentral. Lineage: Eukaryota; Metazoa; Chordata; Mammalia; Carnivora; Mustelidae.